Molecule: ribosomal RNA, 332 nt
Filed under: uncultured Byssovorax sp.
Lineage: Bacteria; Pseudomonadati; Myxococcota; Polyangiales; Polyangiaceae
Description: bacterial SSU rRNA
Rfam family: Bacterial small subunit ribosomal RNA
Source: RNAcentral
CGUGUAGGCUGCUCCGAAAGUCAGGUGUGAAAGCCCCGGGCUCAACCUGGGAAGUGCACUUGAAACCUCGGAGCUUGAAUGCCGGAGAGGGUAGCGGAAUUCUCGGUGUAGAGGUGAAAUUCGUAGAUAUCGAGAGGAACACCGGUGGCGAAGGCGGCUACCUGGACGGCUAUUGACGCUGAGACGCGAAAGCGUGGGGAGCAAACAGGAUUAGAUACCCUGGUAGUCCACGCCGUAAACGAUGGGUGCUAGGUGUCGCGGGCUUUGACCCCUGCGGUGCCGUAGCUAACGCAUUAAGCACCCCGCCUGGGGAGUACGGUCGCAAGACUAAA